This 312-nucleotide ribosomal RNA is filed under the name Clostridioides difficile. Its description in RNAcentral is "bacterial LSU rRNA". It matches the Rfam family "Bacterial large subunit ribosomal RNA", at positions 2366 to 2677 of the family's 2925-position model. Lineage: Bacteria; Bacillati; Bacillota; Clostridia; Peptostreptococcales; Peptostreptococcaceae. The record is from RNAcentral.
AGCUUGAUUGCAAGACAUACAGGUCGAGCAAGGAUGAAAAUCGGACUGAGUGAUCCGGUGGUUCUGCGUGGAAGGGCCAUCGCUCAACGGAUAAAAGCUACCCUGGGGAUAACAGGCUUAUCUCCCCAAAGAGUCCACAUCGACGGGGAGGUUUGGCACCUCGAUGUCGGCUCAUCACAUCCUGGGGCUGUAGUAGGUCCCAAGGGUUGGGCUGUUCGCCCAUUAAAGUGGUACGCGAGCUGGGUUCAGAACGUCGUGAGACAGUUCGGUCCCUAUCCGUCGCAGGCGUAGGAAAUUUGAGAAGACCUGUCC